Molecule: long non-coding RNA, 201 nt
Organism: Thalassophryne amazonica
Lineage: Eukaryota; Metazoa; Chordata; Actinopteri; Batrachoidiformes; Batrachoididae
Exons: 3
Source: RefSeq, a predicted model, not a curated record
GUUACAUCAUGUUACAGGGCGAUAUAUGUCACAUGUCAUAGAAUCCAAUAGAUGUUGACCUUGUUGGACCUUUACCUUGGAGACCAAACAUUCAACACAGUCAAAACUAUUCCAUUUAUUAAUCUUUUUAUUUAAACCAAUAAUUUGGAUCAUUCUUUUUUUUUUAAAAAAAAAUUGAGCCAGUCAGUAACGGUUACCUUU